Molecule: non-coding RNA, 208 nt
Organism: Pelobates cultripes (western spadefoot toad)
Lineage: Eukaryota; Metazoa; Chordata; Amphibia; Anura; Pelobatidae
Source: the annotation of a GenBank genome assembly
CUGGAUAUGGUACCCUACUUUGGUGCCAGUUAUAUAUAAUUAACGAUCAGUAUGAAGAACUGGGUAUAGGCUGUGCACUGUCCAUUCAUUGUACAGCACUGCAGAAUUUGUUGGCGCUAUAUAAAUAAUAAUCAUAGUAUAUAGCUGUAAAAGAACCCGCAUUCUGAAAUGUGUGGAAAUCCAUCAUUAUCUACCAACCAAAAUGAAG